AUUUAUAUAUAUUGCUAACAAAACAUCAUCACUAUCAACUGAACUCCGCUCAGAAUUGUUUUUUCGUUAGCAAUAUACAUUUACUUUCCCUUCUACUACCUUCCCAAAUUUUAAGCCGCGUCGUGCGGAUUUCAUACCCAUAUCAUACAAUAGGGAAUAUUCUUAGCUACCAUUUUUGUAAGUUUCGGAUUUAAGAUUUUAAAAUUGACUGUCUGAGAGUCCAAUCAGUGCUAAAAAGUAUUAGAAAUUUUUAAUCUAAACGAAUUUACGCGACUGCACCCACGUGCGAAAUUGUCCG
Molecule: non-coding RNA, 298 nt
Organism: Cinara cedri
Lineage: Eukaryota; Metazoa; Arthropoda; Insecta; Hemiptera; Aphididae
Source: the annotation of a GenBank genome assembly